RNAcentral lists this ribosomal RNA (318 nucleotides) under uncultured fungus. RNAcentral describes it as "SSU rRNA". It matches the Rfam family "Eukaryotic small subunit ribosomal RNA", at positions 1344 to 1680 of the family's 1831-position model. The record is from RNAcentral. Lineage: Eukaryota; Fungi.
UAACCUGCUAAAUAGUGACGCGAAUUUUUGGAUUUGCGGGUUUACUUCUUAGAGGGACUGCGGGCGUUUAGCUCGCGGAAGUUUGAGGCAAUAACAGGUCUGUGAUGCCCUUAGAUGUUCUGGGCCGCACGCGCGCUACACUGACGGAGUCAGCGAGUAUAUAGCCUGGGCCGAAAGGUCUGGGUAAUCUUGUGAAACUUCGUCGUGAUGGGGAUAGAGCAUUGCAAUUUUUGUUCUUCAACGAGGAAUUCCUAGUAGGCGUCGGUCAUCAGCCGGCGUCGAUUACGUCCCUGCCCUUUGUACACACCGCCCGUCGCU